This 254-nucleotide ribosomal RNA is filed under the name uncultured bacterium. RNAcentral describes it as "partial 16S ribosomal RNA". It matches the Rfam family "Bacterial small subunit ribosomal RNA", at positions 524 to 776 of the family's 1533-position model. The record is from RNAcentral.
UACAUAGGUGGCAAGCGUUGUCCGGAAUUAUUGGGCGUAAAGCGUGCGCAGGCGGUCUGUUAAGACCGAUGUGAAAUCCCCGGGCUUAACCUGGGAACUGCAUUGGUGACUGGCAGGCUUUGAGUGUGGCAGAGGGAGGUAGAAUUCCACGUGUAGCAGUGAAAUGCGUAGAGAUGUGGAGGAAUACCGAUGGCGAAGGCAGCCUCCUGGGCCAACACUGACGCUCAUGCACGAAAGCGUGGGGAGCAAACAGG